RNAcentral lists this ribosomal RNA (488 nucleotides) under uncultured bacterium. RNAcentral's name for it is "partial 16S ribosomal RNA". It matches the Rfam family "Bacterial small subunit ribosomal RNA", at positions 30 to 507 of the family's 1533-position model. The record is from RNAcentral.
UGAACGCUGGCGGCAGGCCUAACACAUGCAAGUCGAAUGGUAACAGGAAACAGCUUGCUGUUUCGCUGACGAGUGGCGGACGGGUGAGUAAUGUCUGGGAAACUGCCUGAUGGAGGGGGAUAACUACUGGAAACGGUAGCUAAUACCGCAUAACGUCGCAAGACCAAAGAGGGGGACCUUCGGGCCUCUUGCCAUCAGAUGUGCCCAGAUGGGAUUAGCUAGUAGGUGGGGUAACGGCUCACCUAGGCGACGAUCCCUAGCUGGUCUGAGAGGAUGACCAGCCACACUGGAACUGAGACACGGCCCAGACUCCUACGGGAGGCAGCAGUGGGGAAUAUUGCACAAUGGGCGCAAGCCUGAUGCAGCCAUGCCGCGUGUAUGAAGAAGGCCUUCGGGUUGUAAAGUACUUUCAGCGGGGAGGAAGGGAGUAAAGUUAAUACCUUUGCUCAUUGACGUUACCCGCAGAAGAAGCACCGGCUAACUCCGUG